UAUCUACUCCCUCCGUUAGGAAUUACUUGUCUCAUAAAUGGAUGUAUCUAGAACUAAAAUACGUCUAGAUACAUCCAUUUCUGCGACAAGUAAUUCUGAACGGAGGGAGUACUCU
This is a non-coding RNA of Triticum aestivum (bread wheat), 115 nucleotides long. NCBI's taxonomy places the organism in Eukaryota, Viridiplantae, Streptophyta, Magnoliopsida, Poales, Poaceae. The record is from Rfam.